AUGCUGAAGCAGAUUUUAAAUGCCGAAGAAGAAAUCAGAACACGUAGCAUGCAGGCUUCACUGCGUGCUGCCAUGCCUCAGCCGCCAGAAAACACAGCUGAUGGAAGUGUUCCUAGACAGGUGCCCAGAAUGACCGUUGAUGUCAAUUUCAGCGAGUUUGCUGGGGAGUCAGAUGCUGGUUCCAACCAGGGCACUCCUGGACGCCCCUUGCAUCAUGUCCACAGUAUUUCUCCUUCAACAGCCUCCUUUGCCAGGUCUCCAUUUGGUUCUCGCAACCACAACCCUGGCAACACUCCAAGAAGUCCAGCUGCACCUUUCUCUACAGCAAGCCCAUCUCGCUUUGCAGGUACUGGGCAUCAAGGACACCACCCCUCGGCAUCAUUACCAGCAAGCAACUUUGUAGCAUCGUCGCCUUCCCCUGCUGCAUCCGGUGGCUCUUCCUCUGUAUUCAGGGACUAUCGCCCGCCCAGUUCAACAUAG
Molecule: ribosomal RNA, 480 nt
Filed under: Triticum aestivum (bread wheat)
Lineage: Eukaryota; Viridiplantae; Streptophyta; Magnoliopsida; Poales; Poaceae
Description: partial small subunit ribosomal RNA
Source: RNAcentral